CUGCGCCCGGCCUGUUUUCAUAACUUUUGAAUUCCAUGGUCAUUUGGGGCUACAGUAAGCACUCAGCUCUAUAAUUACCAGCCCGCACACCCCCAGAGUGGGAGACAGACCUUGACGCCUGCACACUGAGGAUUGUGUCUACAUUUGCUUCACCCCAAGGGACAUGAGGACCCACUGCUGGGUCCAGCCAGAUGGUAAAACCUGAACUUCCAAGAAUCCCAAGCAGGGUUGGAAUUACCAGGAUUGAUUGAGGUCAAAAUCACCCUUCACUCUGUCUGUAUCUACAAGAAUGAAAUUAACAUCCUGCAGAAAUAUUUCAUACUAUGCAUACUAGGCAAAUAAUGAUCCCCCCAAAGGUGCCUGCACUAGAGGGAUUUGAAACAUGAGAAGGACUCAACCCGCUAUUAUGGCUUUGAAGAUGGAGGAAGAGGGGGCCACAAGCCAAGGAAUGUGGAUAGCCUCUGGAAGCUGAGAACAACCUCUGGCAGCCAGCCAGCAAGAGAACAGGGACCUCAGUCCUGCAACCACAAGGACCUCAAUUCUGCCAAAAGCCUAAAUGUCCCUGGAAACAGAUGCUCCCCUGGGGCCUCCAAAAAGAAAUGCAGCCCUGCCGACACCUUAACAUCAGCCUUUUAGAUCAGUAGAAGGUCCCUGUCUGUGAAUUAGAACCC
This 671-nucleotide long non-coding RNA is filed under the name Homo sapiens (human). RNAcentral describes it as "HSALNT0189200". The record is from RNAcentral. Lineage: Eukaryota; Metazoa; Chordata; Mammalia; Primates; Hominidae.